AUGGGUGUCUUUAAACUUCCAAUGUCAGUAUGUGAUGAUUUGAAUAGGAUGAUACAAAAUUUUUGGUGGGAAUCCUCAAAAGGCAAGAGGAAGACGCAAUGGAUGGCUUGGCCGAAAAUUUUGGCACAUAAAAUGAAGGACGGUCUGGGAUUUAGAGAUUUUCGCCUCUUCAACCAAGCCUUGCUAGCGAGACAGGCAUAUCGUUUGCUCACUAAUCUUAAUAGUUUGUGUGUGCAGGUGUUAAAAGCUCGUUACUACCCGGAAGGUCGACUCGAGGACACUGUAUUCUCAGGGAAUGCGUAUCCUACUUGGCAUUGGCAGGCCAUCCAAUAUGACCUCGAACUCUUGAAAAAGGGCAUCAUGUGGUGCGUCGGUGAUAGAAAAAACAUCCGUAUAUGGCGGGAUCAUUGGCUGCCUAGGGAGCCUUUGCGUCAACCCAUCACGCCGCAAGGAAACUGCCAUCUUAGGAGAGUGGCUGAGCUCUUGGACGAGUCUUGCGCUUGGCGCUUGAACGUUAUUCGACGCCACUUCCAACUAUCGGACAUGGACACGAUCACCAGUAUCCGCACAUCGUCUCGCAUCACCGACGACAUCAUCGCUUGGGCGCCAAAGAAGAACGGUAUUUUCACCGUUCGUUCCGCCUACCGCUUAGCCAUGGACAAGCGCGAGCGUCCAUCGACAACCGCCAGGAGCAGGGCACCAAAUAAUCAUCGCACCAUCUGA
RNAcentral lists this ribosomal RNA (723 nucleotides) under Triticum aestivum (bread wheat). RNAcentral's name for it is "partial small subunit ribosomal RNA". Lineage: Eukaryota; Viridiplantae; Streptophyta; Magnoliopsida; Poales; Poaceae. The record is from RNAcentral.